Molecule: ribosomal RNA, 200 nt
Filed under: uncultured bacterium
Lineage: Bacteria
Description: partial 16S ribosomal RNA
Rfam family: Bacterial small subunit ribosomal RNA
Source: RNAcentral
AGAGUUUGAUCCUGGCUCAGAUUGAACGCUAGCGGCAUGCUUAACACAUGCAAGUCGAACGGUAACAGUUCUGGGUAACCAGAAGCUGACGAGUGGCGGACGGGUGAGUAACGCGUAGGAAUCUACCUUUUAGUGGGGAAUAACCUGGGGAAACCCAGGCUAAUACCGCAUAAUGCCUAAGGGGGAAAGCAUGGGACCGA